This 219-nucleotide ribosomal RNA is filed under the name uncultured bacterium. RNAcentral's name for it is "partial 16S ribosomal RNA". It matches the Rfam family "Bacterial small subunit ribosomal RNA", at positions 111 to 334 of the family's 1533-position model. The record is from RNAcentral.
UAAUGCUUGGGAAUCUAGCUUAUGGAGGGGGAUAACUACGGGAAACUGUAGCUAAUACCGCGUAGAAUCGGGAGAUGAAAGUGUGGGCCUUCGGGCCACAUGCCAUAGGAUGAGCCCAAGUGGGAUUAGGUAGUUGGUGAGGUAAAGGCUCACCAAGCCGACGAUCUCUAGCUGGUCUGAGAGGAUGACCAGCCACACUGGGACUGAGACACGGCCCAG